GAUCCAAUCACCCCGACCCCGUCGCCCCAAUGGCCGUCUCUCCCGAGAGGCAAGAGAAAUCGAUCCAAUCACCCCGACCCCGUCGCCGCCCAACGUCCAUGGCCGUCUCUCCCGAGUGGCCAAGAGAAAUCGACCCGCUUCCGCGGUUCUGCCCUACAGUCUUCGCGUCGUCCCGCGCCCAAGGGCGCUCUCCUCUACCCAAUCCUCCUCCCUGUCGAUUGUCUGUCGCCCCAUCCAUGGGCCUUUCGCCGUGCCCGUGAUGCGCCGCGUCCGGGACCGGCACAGAGCCUGCACAGGGUGGUAUGAGCGCAGCCAAUGCCUCCUCUCCACCCGUCGCCGGUGAGGACUCUUAAGGAUGGCUACUGAUGACGGCGAGGAGACCCAUCAGAAGUGGUGCAUGCGUGCGGCAUGCCAUUAGAGAAGAAAGGCUCAUGUAUGAAGAACGUUGGCACCAGCCUAUGUGCCACCAUCCGCAUAGAAGACGAGGUAGUGUUACCAGAUGCGUACACAGUUCAUGUGAAGUAACCCCUCAUUGCUUCGAUGCUGAUUCAGUGGAUUACCAGUUCACCACCACCGCCAUUGAAGACAUGGCGGUUGUUUUGUUUGUUCAGAUGCAGGUUCUCUUCUAGGCUUGGUGGUGAAGAAGCCAGCAACGUUGGUGCGCUGCAGCCUGCAGGUCAUAGAUGUGAAGAAGCAAGCACGAGGCCAUGCGGUCUAGCAGCAGGACACACAUGAAGGAGGCUAGGACUGAGUGCAGGCCUGUGACUAGGAUCAAUAGCAGGAGACAACGUCACAUCGUGGAUAUCAAGUUGUCAUGGAGGACAAAAAGAGGGGUGCAUUGCAAUCUAUAUUUUUCACUACUAAAUGUGUGACACAAUCUGUUGAGAAACACAUUUAGGUAUGCGUAGUAUACUUCAGUAUAUGCUCAUUUCAUCUGGAGGUACAAUCUCAACUUCUUGAAGCAACAUACAGUACCGGAGGGUGUAACUUUUGGACAUUUACGUCAAAACCUUGGAGAUGAUGGAUGCUCGGUGACUAGCUCUGCAUGCCUUCUAUGGGGUUCAAAAUUACUUUAUGAUGUUCAUCCUGCUAGGCUGCAGGGUCAUAGUGCUUCCAGUAUUUUUAAUUUUGAAUCAUAUAGUCAAUCAAUCAGUCAUGGAUCAGAUGGUUUAAUAAGUUUUUUUGCAUUUCAUAUGGUAGUGAUCGACAGAGGCUCUUUUGGUCCAAUCAGUGAGAGAUCAAAUAGCUUGAGCUUGCCAUACACAAAGCAAUAUGAUACACGCUUCCAACUACAGUGCAGACGCUCCAAAAAUCAGGCUACAUGCCAGCUGCAAACAAAUAUAAUAAAGUUGUUUGGGUGGAUCUGUUGUGGUGCUGCUUAGGUGGAUCUAAUCAAGACAACUAUUGAUCGUCUUCCAUUUCAACAGCAGCAAUGUGGGGUGUCACAUGUGGAGUAGGAGGUGUAAGAGAAGAUGGAGAAGGUGAUUAUUCUCGCAUUACAUUGAGUGUUGAGUGUGGGGUAUAUGGAAAUAUUUGAAUUGAAGACGAUCCGGUACCUGAGAUAAAUGAUCGAGGAGACGCAUGACUUGAAUAAAAAUAUUUGUGAGAAUAUGAAAUGAGGAAAUUACUAUUUCUGACCGA
RNA transcript from Triticum aestivum (bread wheat), 1641 nucleotides. RefSeq lists it as uncharacterized. NCBI's taxonomy places the organism in Eukaryota, Viridiplantae, Streptophyta, Magnoliopsida, Poales, Poaceae. The transcript is spliced from 7 exons. The record is from RefSeq and is a predicted model, not a curated record.